RNAcentral lists this ribosomal RNA (253 nucleotides) under uncultured bacterium. RNAcentral describes it as "partial 16S ribosomal RNA". It matches the Rfam family "Bacterial small subunit ribosomal RNA", at positions 524 to 776 of the family's 1533-position model. The record is from RNAcentral.
UACGUAGGGCGCAAGCGUUGUCCGGAAUUAUUGGGCGUAAAGAGCUCGUAGGCGGUCUGUUGCGUCCGCUGUGAAAACUCGGGGCUUAACCCCGAGCCUGCAGUGGAUACGGGCAGACUAGAGGUAGGUAGGGGAGAAUGGAAUUCCCGGUGUAGCGGUGAAAUGCGCAGAUAUCGGGAGGAACACCGGUGGCGAAGGCGGCGACCUGGUCCGAUACUGACGCUGAGGUGCGAAAGCGUGGGGAGCAAACAGG